RNAcentral lists this long non-coding RNA (379 nucleotides) under Brassica napus (rape). RNAcentral describes it as "long non-coding RNA (BNAP_LNC026609)". The record is from RNAcentral. Lineage: Eukaryota; Viridiplantae; Streptophyta; Magnoliopsida; Brassicales; Brassicaceae.
AUAUAUAUUAAUUUUUUUUAAUAAAUAUAUAAAAAUAGUUCUAAUAAACAAAAAAUAGUUUUAAUAAAUAAAAAUUGUUUAAUAAUUACAAAAAAAAUAGUUUUAAUAAUAUAUAUAUAUAUGAAAAAUAUUUUUAAAUCCCAAAUAAUAGUAUUUAAUCACAAAAAAAGUUUUAUAGAUAUUUAAAAUGUUUUGUAAAAUCCAAAAAAUCGAAUUUAUAUAGAAAUUGUUUUUUGUAAAAUCCAAAAAAUCGAAUUUAUAUAGAAAAAUUAUUUUGUAAAAUACAAAAAUCGAUUUUAUAUACAAAAAUCGAUUUUAUAAAUACAAAAACUAAAAAAAUUAUAAAAAAAUUCUAAAUCAAUUCAACAAAACAAAUUAU